GAUGAUCAGCAUGGCUACAGCGUUCCCUUUGCCCCGGCGUGCUACGACCCUUUUCUUGGUGGGAUGCCGUGGCCAGCUGAUCCUUCCAUGUACUACGGCUACGCCGGCAUGCCCUACGCUUACGGCGGCGGUUACCCGAUGGGUUCGAACGCCAUGGGCGGCAACAUGACAGUACCACCACAAACACGGAACGACGGCGGACCGUAUGGUUACCACGGCAGGAAGAGGACGCGCGCAGAUUGUGAGGAUCAGAGCUUCAAGAGAAAGUGCGGUGGAGGCAGAUCACAGGCCACCUUAGUUUUGACGUAG
This 309-nucleotide ribosomal RNA is filed under the name Triticum aestivum (bread wheat). RNAcentral's name for it is "partial small subunit ribosomal RNA". Lineage: Eukaryota; Viridiplantae; Streptophyta; Magnoliopsida; Poales; Poaceae. The record is from RNAcentral.